CAAUAGCGUGUAUUAAAGUUGUUGCAGUUAAAAAGCUCGUAGUUGGAUUUCUGGUAGGAGCGACCGUGCCGAACUUGAUUGUUCGAGUAUUGUGUUGUCUUCAGCCAUCCUCGUGGAGAACUUUUCUAACAUUAACUUGUUGGGAUUGGGACCCGCGUCGUUUACUGUGAAAAAAUUAGAGUGUUUAAAGCAGGCAUUAGCUUGAAUACAUUAGCAUGGAAUAAUAAGAUAGGACUUUGGUACUAUUUUGUUGGUUUGCAUACCAAAUUAAUGAUCAACAGGAACAGUUUGAGGAUAUUCGUAUGAACAUGUCAGAGGUGAAAUUCUUGGAUUUUGAUCAGACGAACUACUGCGAAAGCAUUUAUCAAGGAUGUUUUCAUUAA
Molecule: ribosomal RNA, 383 nt
Filed under: uncultured eukaryote
Lineage: Eukaryota
Description: partial 18S ribosomal RNA
Rfam family: Eukaryotic small subunit ribosomal RNA
Source: RNAcentral